This is a long non-coding RNA of Dreissena polymorpha, 333 nucleotides long. RefSeq lists it as uncharacterized. NCBI's taxonomy places the organism in Eukaryota, Metazoa, Mollusca, Bivalvia, Myida, Dreissenidae. The transcript is spliced from 3 exons. The record is from RefSeq and is a predicted model, not a curated record.
UAGACAUAGUUUACACAGGCUUGUACCAUAGACUACAGGUGCAAGUUAAUAGUAGACAUAGUUUACACAGGCUUGUACCAUAGACUACAGGUGCAAGUUAAUAGUAGACAUAGUUUACACAGGCUUGUACCAUAGACUACAGGUGCAAGUUAAUAGUAGACAUAGUUUACACAGGCUUGUACCAUAGACUACAGGUGCAAGUUAAUAGUAGACAUAGUUUACACAGGCUUGAACCAUAGACUACAGGUGCAAGUUAAUAGUAGACAUAGUUUACACAGGCUUGAACCAUAGACUACAGGUGCAAGUUAAUAGUAGACAUAGUUUACACAGGCU